GACGAACCGUGCAAACGUUAUUCGGAAUCACUGGGCAUAAAGGGCGCGUAGGCGGCUUCAUAAGUCAGGGGUGAAAUCCGGCAGCUUAACUGUCGCAGUGCCUUUGAUACUGUGGAGCUCGAGGGAGGUAGGGGUCUGUGGAACUUCCGGUGGAGCGGUGAAAUGCGUUGAUAUCGGAAGGAACGCCGGUGGCGAAAGCGACGGACUGGAUCUCUUCUGACGCUGAGGCGCGAAAGCCAGGGGAGCAAACGGG
This 253-nucleotide ribosomal RNA is filed under the name uncultured bacterium. RNAcentral describes it as "partial 16S ribosomal RNA". It matches the Rfam family "Bacterial small subunit ribosomal RNA", at positions 524 to 776 of the family's 1533-position model. RNAcentral also lists the same sequence under 1 other name. The record is from RNAcentral.